Molecule: ribosomal RNA, 722 nt
Filed under: uncultured archaeon
Lineage: Archaea
Description: bacterial SSU rRNA
Rfam family: Archaeal small subunit ribosomal RNA
Source: RNAcentral
CACGUUGGCCAACUACCCUGGUGGAUUCGGGAUACCCUCCGGGAAACUGAGGUUAAUCUCGAAUACGGCUCCCAGUCUGGAAGUGACGGGAGUCCGAAACGCUCAGGCACCACAGGAUGUGGCUGCGGCCGAUUAGGUAGACGGUGGGGUAACGGCCCACCGUGCCGAUAAUCGGUACGGGUUGUGAGAGCAAGCGCCCGGAGACGGUAUCUGAGACAAGAUACCGGGCCCUACGGGGCGCAGCAGGCGCGAAACCUUUACACUGCACGCGAGUGCGAUAAGGGGACCCCGAGUGCGAGGGCAUACAGUCCUCGCUUUUGUACACCGUAAGGAGGUGUACGAACAAGGGCUGGGCAAGACCGGUGCCAGCCGCCGCGGUAAUACCGGCAGCCCGAGUGAUGGCCGCUAUUAUUGGGCCUAAAGCGUCCGUAGCCGGCCAGACAGGUCCGUCGGGAAAUCCACACGCUUAACGUGUGGGCGUCCGGCGGAACCCAGCUGGCUUGGGACCGGACGACCCGAGGGGUACGUCCAGGGUAGGAGUGAAAUCCCGUAAUCCUGGACGGACCGCCGGUGGCGAAAGCGCCUCGGGAGGACGGAUCCGACGGUGAGGGACGAAAGCCAGGGUCACGAACCGGAUUAGAUACCCGGGUAGUCCUGGCCGUAAACGAUGUCUGCUAGGUGUGGCACAGGCCACGAGCCUGUGCUGUGCCGCAGGGAUGCCG